Molecule: long non-coding RNA, 1278 nt
Organism: Musa acuminata AAA Group (dessert banana)
Lineage: Eukaryota; Viridiplantae; Streptophyta; Magnoliopsida; Zingiberales; Musaceae
Exons: 4
Source: RefSeq, a predicted model, not a curated record
GGGCUGCUUAGAGGUCCGCACGCGGUUCCGAUGAACUUACUCGACCCGUGGACCCGAGCGACGGAGGCGACCGGCGCGCCACCUGCCGCCGAAACAGGCGGGCUCACUCCUAGACCUUCCUCCGCCUCCCCGACGACAUUGUCUUCGACACCGAUCCCGACUUCAGCAUCUCCGGCAUCGACUUCCCCUCGCUCUCCGACGACAACGUCUCCGGCGGCGACGCAGGCGCCGUGGGCGGUGGGCUUUCCGCGGAGCCCGGGAUGUCGGAUCAGCCUGCGGUUGCGUGUAGGCCUGUCCCCGGGGCCCAUCUCCGCAUUUUCUCGGUGGGCGCCGCGUUCUUCGAUAGCUUGGGAUAUGUGGCCGGAAGUGGCGGCGGGGCGCAGGAAAGGAAGGGGCCCAAUCGGCGGAGCGGCUCGAUAUGGCCGUUCGAUGGGGAGUCGACGCCUCCUCUUUCGGAUUACGCGAAGAAGGCCAUGACGACGGCCGAUAAGCUCGUGGAGUUGGCGUUGAUCGAUCCCAAGAGAGCAAAAAGGAUUCUUUGAACAGGCAAUCCGCUGCUCGUUCGAAGGAGAGGAAGAUUCAUUUCACAAGUGAACUUGGAAUGAAGGGUGCAAACUCUUCAGACAGAGGCAACCACUCUUUCUGGCCUGCUCACACUUCUGCAGAGAGACAAUACAGAUUUGAAUGCCGAGAACAGAGAACACAAACUGCGGUUGCAGGCUAUGGAGCAACAGGCCCAACUUCGUGAUGCUCCGAAUGAAGCUAUGAGAGAAGAAGUGCAGCGGCUUAAGAUAGCAACUGGACAACUUCCAACCGCAAAUGGACAUCCUCUUAACCGAGGGCUUCUGCAUCAUGCAUCAAACUAUUACUCUCACCCACAGCAAUUACCUCCCCUGAGUGGGCGUCAAGCACAGCAUCCGCAUCCAUCUCAAACGCAAAGUUCUUCGAAUGGUCAGUCACCCAGUGUUCAUCCCCCUAAUGAUCCCAUGGACAUGUGAGCCCAAGGUCACCAAUAUGAUACAAUACAUAGCACAUUUACAAGCCCUAGUUCUGGAUAGAUUUGUAGUGAUGAGAUAAGGUAGACUAAAGGUCAUUCAUGCUGAAUGUAGAUUAUACUACCUUGUUAAAGAGCUGUUCUCCUUUAGAUUAUGUCUCUAAUUGGUAUGUUUCAAGUGAACAGUCUGUUGGCUGUCGCUAAUUCUGCACAGAGUUGAUAGGGAGAUUACCUAUCGACAUGACGAUGAAUGUGUUCUAGAAAAAUCAUCUUUUAUUUUUUAA